RNAcentral lists this ribosomal RNA (448 nucleotides) under Macrodiplosis roboris. RNAcentral describes it as "partial large subunit ribosomal RNA". It matches the Rfam family "Eukaryotic large subunit ribosomal RNA", at positions 331 to 657 of the family's 3401-position model. Lineage: Eukaryota; Metazoa; Arthropoda; Insecta; Diptera; Cecidomyiidae. The record is from RNAcentral.
AAACCGAUAGCGAACAAGUACCGUGAGGGAAAGUUGAAAAGUACUCUGAAUAGAGAGUUAAAUAGUACGUGAAACCGCUUAGGGGUUAAGCCCGAUGAACCCGAAUAUCUGAUGUGAGAAAUUCAAUACUGUUCAUUUAAUGGAUUGUAUGCACUUUUCUCAUAGUAAGACAUUGUAAUCCAUUGAUGUUAUAUCUCUUUCAUUUACGGGAGAGAUGAUUUAACAUACGGACAAGAUGUAUAUGAUUAUUCUACCAGUGAUGUGUUUACAUGUCAUAUGAAUAAAAUCGUUUUGUACCUGUUUAAAUAGUCGAUGGAUUUUAACUGAAUCAUGCUUGCAAUUCAUUUUGCGUUUCGUGUUAUCGGCCAUUUUGGUUGGUAAUAGCAGAAAUGGCAUGCAUUCGAUUAACAAUGCGAUAGAUUUGGGAUACUUUCAGGACCCGUCUUGA